Molecule: ribosomal RNA, 507 nt
Filed under: uncultured bacterium
Lineage: Bacteria
Description: bacterial SSU rRNA
Rfam family: Bacterial small subunit ribosomal RNA
Source: RNAcentral
GACGAACGCUGGCGGCGUGCCUAACACAUGCAAGUCGAACGGAGUUACGUUUUUCACUUAAGUCUGGCGAAGUUGUCAGGCUUAAGGAGAGCGUAAACUUAGUGGCGGACGGGUGAGUAACGCGUGAGCAACCUGCCUUCUUGAGGGGAAUAAACGUCUGGAAACGGACGCUAAUACCGCAUAACAUCUGACAGUCGCACGGCAGUCAGAUCAAAGGAGCAAUCCGCAGGAAGAUGGCUCGCGUCCGAUUAGCCAGUUGGCGGGGUAACGGCCCACCAAAGCGACGAUCGGUAGCCGGACUGAGAGGUUGAACGGCCACAUUGGGACUGAGACACGGCCCAGACUCCUACGGGAGGCAGCAGUGGGGGAUAUUGCACAAUGGGGAAACCCUGAUGCAGCAACGCCGCGUGAGGGAAGAAGGUUUUCGGAUUGUAAACCUCUGUCCUCAGGGAGAAAAUGACGGUACCUGAGGAGGAAGCUCCGGCUAACUACGUGCCAGCCGCCGCA